This 1990-nucleotide unclassified non-coding RNA is filed under the name uncultured fungus. RNAcentral describes it as "sequence contains 18S rRNA gene, ITS1, 5.8S rRNA gene, ITS2, 28S rRNA gene". The stretch from base 869 to 1990 matches the Rfam family "Eukaryotic large subunit ribosomal RNA", at positions 1 to 961 of the family's 3401-position model. Lineage: Eukaryota; Fungi. The record is from RNAcentral.
GGAAGGAUCAUUACCCACGUUUCCACGUAUCCACGCACGUGCAAUUGUUUUCGUACCUCUCCUUGUGUGGUGCCUUCGGGCGCUGCCGGGACAAAUCGGGUGCUGCUGUCCUCUCGGCUCCGGCUGAGGCGCUCCGCCCUUUACUCACCCCUUCCACCGCUUUUUUGCUAGUUGACUUUGAAAAAUGACACUGCUUGUGUGGCUGUGUUGCGUGUUUGGUUUCGGCCUUACUCCUUCGCUCCCCGUGCCUGCUGUGCCUCGUUUUCUCUAUUAAUUUAUUGAAACGUCAUUACAACUCUUAGCAAUGGAUAUCUAGGUUCUCGCAACGAUGAAGAACGCAGCGAAAUGCGAUACGUAAUGCGAAUUGCAGAAUUCAGUGAAUCAUCAAAUCUUUGAACGCAAAUGGCGCUCUUGGGUAGCCCUAGGAGCACGCCUCUCUCAGUAUCGGUUCAACCUCCUCUCAGCAGCGCACGAAUUUAUUCGAGCGUGUUGGCUGGUGAAUGAGAGUCGCAGAGGAACGCACGGCCGGCCUUCGGGUCUGUUGGGCAGCGCUCUGCGUCUCUUGAAAUGCAUGGAGUCUCCCUCUGUGCCUCGCAGCUCGUCGCUCUGAUCGAAUUUAUUUUUGAUUUGGGUGUGCGAUAGCUCGGCUCGUCCUUGUUGCUGCGGAGUGACGUGAAUACUGACCCCUCUGGGUGUCUCCUUUUUACGUGUGUCUCUGCAGCGGCUGCUCAUAGGGUGUGUCGCAGUAAACGCUUGGCAAUCGGAGUGUGUGUACGUUUCGGCUGCGGUGGCGCGUGCAAUUAAUUUAUUAAUUUGUCGUGCGAUCGGCCAAUCGACUCGGGUGCUUCGGCGCCUCGUGUCUGAAAUUUGAUCUGAGAUGAAGCGAGACAACCCCCUGAAUUUAAGCAUAUUAAUAAGGGGAGGAAAAGAAACUAACAAGGAUUCCCUCAGUAACGGCGAGUGAAGCGGGAAGAGCUCAAUUUGAAAAUCGAUCACCCAAGCGGGUCAUCGAGUUGUAGCUAGAGACGUACUAUCAGCUGCUGGUUGGGUAUAAGUUCUUUGGAAUGAGGCAUCAUAGAGGGUGAGAAUCCCGUAUAUGACCCAAAGCCAGUAGCGUACGAUGUAUGUUCCUCGAGUCGAGUUGUUUGGGAUUGCAGCUCUAAAUGGGUGGUAAGUUUCAUCUAAAGCUAAAUAAUGGCGAGAGACCGAUAGCGAACAAGUACCGUGAGGGAAAGAUGAAAAGAACUUUGAAAAGAGAGUUAAAAGUACUUGAAAUUGCUAAGAGGGAAGCGCUGACAACCAGUUCUUCGCGUCGCUCGACGCUCGUGUGCUCCUGAUGCUGUCGUCUGUAGUGGGUAACUCUGCAGGCGGCGGUCUUUUUGGGCGGCCGCGGGUUGAGGUCGGCGUGUCAGUCAAGAUCCAUUCGAUGAGGGGGAGAAGGUGAAGGGAAAGGUAGGAGAUCCGUCUCUGUUAUAGUCCCUGCACUCUACCUCGCGUUGGAUGGAGGAAGGAAUAGUGCGCCGCUUGCGGCUUAGUCCCGCGUGUCCUGUCGCUCCAUGCUGCUCUGAGUGCAAUGCUCUCUCUGUGGUGUGCGGGUGCCACUGCGCGCGUCGACUCUCUGUGCUAUCACGAUCUUGUACCAAAUGGUUGUCAUCGACCCGUCUUGAAACACGGACCAAGGAGUCUAACAUCUAUGCGAGUAUUUGAGUGCCAAACUCGAAUGCGCAAUGAAAGUAAAGGUAGCCUCGUGCUGCUGAGGUAGGAAUCCGCGUCAAAAAACGGAGGCACUAUCGACCGAUCAUCACUUGUGAAAGAUUUGAGUAAGAGCAUAUCUGUUGGGGACCCGAAAGAUGGUGAUCUAUGCCUGAAACAGGGUGAAGCCAGGGGAAACUCUGGUGGAGGCUCGUAGCGAUACUGACGUGCAAAUCGUUCGUCUGAUUUGGGUAUAGGGGCGAAAGACUAAUCGAACCAUCUAGUAGCUGGUUCCCUC